This 663-nucleotide long non-coding RNA is filed under the name Phoenix dactylifera (date palm). RNAcentral describes it as "long non-coding RNA (PDAC_LNC017970)". The record is from RNAcentral. Lineage: Eukaryota; Viridiplantae; Streptophyta; Magnoliopsida; Arecales; Arecaceae.
UAUAAUUGUUGAAGACUAUUGGAUGUGUUAACUUGAACUAAAGUGUAGAUUUAUGAUCUAACCAGGAAUCUUUGCCAUUGAGUAGAUAUUUAGAUUUUGAGAUGCUUAUGUGAGUUAUCAUAUGUAGCAUUGAUCAUACAUAUUAAGAAUCUUGGUGAAGAAAGAUUUGAAGGUUGAUAGAGUUAAUUUCUAAUCAUAGUGAUAUUGGCUCAAUGAUUUUUAACACAUUGAAUUUGAAGUAAAUUCUUUUGGAAGGAAGGUUAAUCUAAAUUAUGUAAUUGAAUUGCUAAGAAAUCCAGAGUUAAUUAAAUUUGGAUAUUUUGGAUUCUAAGUUGUGGAGAUCAUGUAGUGACCUUAAACUUGAUUAAUGGCUUGAGGGUUAGUUAUGGUUAGUAUACUCUACAUAAAUUUCAAUUAAAGUUUGAAAUCUGGAUUUUCUUAUUCCUAGUGCAAAGUGAUAUUUCGGUCAUAAAUCAUUUAGAGACCUUAGAGUAUUUAAUGGAUUAAAUCAGAGUGCACAGCGGAAGUGUGGUGGUUUGAGUUAUUUUGAAAUUGGUUAAGAACAUUAAUAUUUGAUGUAAAAGGUAUUAUGAUGGAACACUUGAGUUAGUUUCUAAUAGAGGAGAAUGUUGUUGAUUCUAUGGAUGAUCUAGAGGUAGCUAU